GUCCCUGUAGCGCAAUGAAUUGCGCUUUGGACUUUUAAUCCAAAGGUCGAGGGUUAGAACCCACCUGGGAUG
RNAcentral lists this transfer RNA (72 nucleotides) under Trichonephila clavata. It matches the Rfam family "tRNA". From Rfam's summary of the family: Transfer RNA (tRNA) molecules are approximately 80 nucleotides in length. Lineage: Eukaryota; Metazoa; Arthropoda; Arachnida; Araneae; Nephilidae. The record is from Rfam by way of RNAcentral.